RNAcentral lists this ribosomal RNA (433 nucleotides) under Leucorrhinia glacialis. RNAcentral describes it as "partial 28S ribosomal RNA". Lineage: Eukaryota; Metazoa; Arthropoda; Insecta; Odonata; Libellulidae. The record is from RNAcentral.
UCUGGGAAUACGGGUGGUUCCGAAAGGGCGAAAGGGGAGAUUCAAGUUUCGCCGCGCGCCGUGGCGGGCCCGAAGCAAGGGAUGGCGUUCUCGCGGCCGGUGGGGUGACCCCCGGUCCGGGAGGGUGACCCCCGGUCCGGGAGCGCCACCCUUCGAGGCGCUGUUCGUCCGGCGUCGGAGUGACGCACUUCUCCCCCGGUAGAACGUCGCGAUCCGUCGGUCGCCGGCCUAAGGCCCCGGGUGGAGCCGUUCUUUUUCCGCGAGCGACCCCGGGGAUCCCGGCCGGGUGCCCGACGGCAUGAAGAGAGGAAGGAGUCGGCGCGCCUCUUUAGGCGUCCGCCCCUCCGCAAGCGCCCGCGGGAGUCGGGGAUCCGGGCCCGGCCCGGUCUCCUUCUUCAGCGGGGCUGUUUGCGANGNGNAGGUGUGCUCGGAY